UGGAGGGCAAGUCUGGUGCCAGCAGCCGCGGUAAUUCCAGCUCCAAUAGCGUAUAUUAAAGUUGUUGCAGUUAAAAAGCUCGUAGUUGGAUUUCUGUUAAUAAUUUAUAUAAAAUAUUUUGAUGAAUAUUUAUAUAAUAUUAACAUAAUUCAUAUUACUAUAUAUUUUAGUAUAUGAAAUUUUACUUUGAGAAAAUUAGAGUGCUUAAAGCAGGCAUAUGCCUUGAAUACUCCAGCAUGGAAUAAUAUUAAAGAUUUUUAUCUUUYUUAUUGGUUCUAAGAUAAGAAUAAUGAUUAAUAGGGACAGUUGGGGGCAUUUGUAUUUAACAGUCAGAGGUGAAAUUCUUAGAUUUGUUAAAGACAAACUAAUGCGAAAGCAUUUGCCAAGGAUGUUUUCAUUAAUCAAGAACGAAAGUUAGGGGAUCGAAGACGAUCAG
Molecule: ribosomal RNA, 436 nt
Filed under: Cryptosporidium parvum
Lineage: Eukaryota; Apicomplexa; Conoidasida; Eucoccidiorida; Cryptosporidiidae
Description: SSU rRNA
Source: RNAcentral